RNAcentral lists this ribosomal RNA (439 nucleotides) under uncultured bacterium. RNAcentral's name for it is "partial 16S ribosomal RNA". It matches the Rfam family "Bacterial small subunit ribosomal RNA", at positions 339 to 795 of the family's 1533-position model. The record is from RNAcentral.
CUACGGGUUGCUGCAGUGGGGAAUAUUGCACAAUGGAGGAAACUCUGAUGCGGCAACGCCGCGUGGAGGAUGACACUUUUCGGAGCGUAAACUCCUUUUAUAUAGGAAGAAGAUGACGGUACUAUAUGAAUAAGCGCCGGCUAACUCCGUGCCAGCAGCCGCGGUAAUACGGAGGGCGCAAGCGUUACUCGGAAUCACUGGGAGUAAAGAGCGUGUAGGCGGAUUAAAAAGUCAGAAGUGAAAUCCUAUAGCUUAACUAUAGAACUGCUUCUGAAACUCUUAAUCUAGAAUAUGGGAGAGGUAGAUGGAAUUUCUGGUGUAGGGGUAAAAUCCGUAGAGAUCAGAAGGAAUACCGAUUGCGAAGGCGAUCUACUAGAACAUUAUUGACGCUGAGACGCGAAAGCGUGGGGAGCAAACAGGAUUAGAUACCCCCGUAGUC